AUUGAACGCUGGCGGCAUGCCUUACACAUGCAAGUCGAACGGCAGCACGGGAGCAAUCCUGGUGGCGAGUGGCGAACGGGUGAGUAAUAUAUCGGAACGUGCCCGGUCGUGGGGAUAACGUAGCGAAAGCUACGCUAAUACCGCAUACGAUCUACGGAUGAAAGCGGGGGAUCGCAAGACCUCGCGCGAUUGGAGCGGCCGAUAUCAGAUUAGGUAGUUGGUGAGGUAAAGGCUCACCAAGCCGACGAUCUGUAGCUGGUCUGAGAGGACGACCAGCCACACUGGGACUGAGACACGGCCCAGACUCCUACGGGAGGCAGCAGUGGGGAAUUUUGGACAAAUGGGCGCAAGCCUGAUCCAGCAAUGCCGCGUGCAGGAUGAAGGCCUUGGUUGUAAACUGCUUUGUACGGUAACGAAACGGUAGAGGCUCUAAUACA
RNAcentral lists this ribosomal RNA (437 nucleotides) under uncultured bacterium. RNAcentral describes it as "bacterial SSU rRNA". It matches the Rfam family "Bacterial small subunit ribosomal RNA", at positions 30 to 468 of the family's 1533-position model. The record is from RNAcentral.